GGGCAGUUAGCUCAGUUGGUUAGAGUGCCGUCUUGACAUGGCGGAGGUCACAGGUUCAAAUCCUGUACUGCCCA
This 74-nucleotide transfer RNA is filed under the name Elusimicrobiota bacterium. Its description in RNAcentral is "Elusimicrobia bacterium (hot springs metagenome) tRNA-Val". It matches the Rfam family "tRNA". From Rfam's summary of the family: Transfer RNA (tRNA) molecules are approximately 80 nucleotides in length. The record is from RNAcentral. Lineage: Bacteria; Pseudomonadati; Elusimicrobiota.